GUCAGGGGACAGAGACCACGGCACCUCAGGGCGCCCAGGACACACCCUGCCCCUCCAUUCUGUUCUCUCCAGGCCCCCAGCGGGCGACGGGCCCACUUGGGGGUGCAGUUGGUGAUCGUGCUCUGCUCCCCCGGUCUCCCAUCUCCAGAAACAUUUCAUGGCCACAGAGACACCUUCCACCAGGUAUCAGGCCUCCCUCAGCUCAGGCGGAGGACACAGGGUCCCGGCAACUGGGACGUGGGUGUGCAGCACAGGGCGGGGCUGUGUCAUUUCUCUUGUCCCUUAGCUUCGAAAUGGAAGCCCCAGAGAAUGAGGAAGGUGUGGAAUGGGCCCCUGGGGAACGCGUCUGAGGCCUCCUGGACAUGACUCUGUGCCCAUGCCACACUUCGAUGGGCGGACAUCAAACCCGCUGUGCGCUCAGUGCCGUGACACUGCGUGAAUGACUGGAGAGGCCGGUGGGAUUGGAUGGAGGGGGUGAAGAAAGGCAAAGCUUUUGCUCCUUCUCUGGUUUUUCUUAAGUUCUCUCCUCCUCCUCUCAUUUCAAAGGCUUAUCCUGGAGUGAUUGGGAGGCUCAGGAAGCCAUUGUGAUUCUCAGGUGAUUCGCAUAUGGGUAUUUAUAGUCUUCCAAGUCUUUAACAUUUAAAAAUUGAGCUUACUGUCCUUAGUAAAUAUUGCUGGUUGAUUUCUGCUCAUUCACUUUAUCUUUAGCCUAGAAUGGUUUUAUAGUUGCGAAGGAGGUAAAACCUCCUGUAAAACCAUGCCUCUCAAUCCCAGCUUUCUUAAAGAUUCCGAGUCACAACUGCUGGCAUUGUAAGGGAACAUCUGACUAGUGAGUUAAGAGGCCAGCUCUCACUGUUUACAUGUUUAUCUCAUCGGUUCUUGAACAUUUGCUGGAUUCCUGAUCUGUGUCAGUUGUGGGGACAGAUGGAUAAUUAUGGGGUCCUCUCAAGAAGUUACAUCUGUUGGACAAAAUAAUCUGGGUUACAGACAGCUACUCAUUCCUGCAGAUGCACUGGAGUCCACCUUCAUGAAACAUGAUUUGCAAGGGGUGUGUGUGUACACAGAUACAUACGCAUGCGUGUGCAGGCACACACAUACACACACAUUCACUGCACCCAAUUCAUUUUUUGGAACUUUAAACAACCUUUUUUUUAAAAAAAGAAAAAAAGUCCUGAAAUUCAGCUUAUAGUUUGGGGAGACAUGUCUAUCUAGGUUUCCUAUAAUGCUUUAUAGUACAGUAUUGUAAUCCAGGUCAUGAAACAAUCUAAAGUUUCCAUAGUUUGAAAUGCAUUAUAAUCUUUAUAUAAACAUAAUCUACGACUGUAUAACUGUAAUCUUACAAAACCUUCAAAAUCUGUUUUGUGGAAACUGAGCCUUUUACUCUCAGAAAAUGUUUGUAAAACAGACAGGCAACCCUGUUGGAAAAUGCAAAGGCUCUUAGAGUUCUUACUGAGCUACCUUACUUCCUGCUUGGUGAGUUUUAAGAGUGUUUAAUGGUUUUGUUUAUCUAGGUGAUGUGUGUAACUCACAGCUCAAGGACAAUGAAAAUCCUUUCUUUCUGCACUUGUUUUCUUGUGUAUGCUUAUCUUUGGCCGCAUUGGAUGGAAAGAGCAAGCUUCCUCCUCCUGGACGUUUGGGGCUGGACCAUUCUUCGUUCUGGGGCUGCAUCCCUGGCGGCCCCGCACCUUGUGCCCAGCAGGGACAGCCACAGUGGCCCCGGCACUGCUGUGUGUCCAGCAGCUGAGAACCACUGCUCCAGCAUGGGACGCUGCUGUCCUCACAGUGCAGCGCACUUCCGGCUGCCUCAGGCUUUCCGGGGAAUAAUGCUUCUGGUGUUUUUCCAUUCAGCACAUGCAGUUUUGGGGCGGCCCAGGAAGUACAAUUUUACUUCCAUUUAAAAUAAAUAAAAUGUUAAACUGCAUUAAAAUGGAUUCAUGAUAAUGUUGAAUAAAUUCUAAAAGAACUCCUACAAUUCAGCGGGUCCCUGAGGACCAGGGCUGGUGCGUGCGUGUGUGCAGCUGUUGGGCAGGGGCUGUUGUGUAACCUUUGACUUGGACGCUUGGCUCUCAGAAGCAGGAAGAAGAAUGUGAGCCUGAGCACAGCCAGGCUCUGCCCGGAGAAGCCAAGGAGACCAAAUCAGAGAUGAUUAUCGCUGCGACUGCGCAUUUGGCGUAGAUGGAUUCUUCAGCCGUUCCUUUCAAGUGACAGUUUAUAGCUCUUUCUGUUUUUACUCAUUUGGCUUCUGCUUUCAAACGCUCACAUACAGGAUGAAGCUAGGAGCCCCCGCUCUGAGCUUCCCCUGGCCUUGAGAUGUCGCCUCCAGGAUGGGACGAGGAUGGCUGACAUGGCGAGGCUGGCAGUCCCACCCACCUCUCAGGCCCAGGUGGGCCAUCGCAGACAGCACAGAUGGUGAAAACACAGUUAUGCUGGUGGAUUCCCACACAGGACAUGGGCAGAGCCGCUGCACACACAGAGGGAAGACUCGCCUGCCCUGUGCUCAGGCCCCCACCCCUCCACCUGGCACUGCUACCACAGUACCUGCCGCACGUGGGCUCCACCUCCAGCACCAGCUCUGCUGCCUGGCCCGGCCUAGGUUUGGCUGCGAUUCAACGCAGAGUCCCAACGGGCAGCCCAGGUGUGCAGUCUCAGACCCUCGCCUGCUGCCAAGGGAACAUUUAAUCUGUUGACUGCAUUCAGUUAGGCCAGUCUGGCAAGGGUGCGUGGAACUGUAAAUUACUCCGAUGCUUAAUUUAUUUGGUGUGGAAGGCUCUCUCUUCGACUCUAGCUGUCUCAAGCUGAAGAUGAAACACUGCUUCGUUUGCAAGUCGUAAAAACUUUAACAGACUUGUGCCUUAAAGAGUGAGACCCUCUGACUUCACAAGUGCAACUGCUGUGCGAUGCUGGGUCAUUUACCCCGGGGAGAGCUGCAGCGUAAACAGACUGCAAGAGAAGGGAGCAGAACGGGCCUCACUUCUGGUGUGAACACAGCCUGGGAGAAGCUGGAGAGAGGGCCGAAGGCCACCUCAGGGCUUGUCAGCGCACCCUGCCCACUGUCACCCGGGCGGGGAGGAUGAGGCCCUGCAAGUAGAACCUGAGCCUAGUCCUGUACGAGGUCGCUACCCGGUUCGCGGGCGUGUCAUUAUUUCAAGUCUGAUCUCACACUCGGGCACGUGGCCUGAAGAAAGCUCGGUACAGGGGCCCAUACCUGUGAUCCCAGCACUGUGGGAGGCUGAGACAGGAGGAUAGCAAGUUUGAGUCCAGCCUGGGCAACUUAGCAAAUAAGCAAGAUCCUUGCCCAGAAUAAAAAUAAAAAGGGAUGGAAGGGUGUCUUAGUGUGAAGGUCCUGGGUUCAAUCCUUACUACCAGAAAAUUAAAGAAAAAAACAAACAGCAGUUCCCUCCAGCAGGUACCCUUCAUGGGCUUCUGUCUUGCUGCAGAGGUGGAAUCCGAUCUGGAUCAGAAUCCCAGGAAGUUAGCCUGGGAAAGGGAUUCAUCUGGGUUGUGGGGGAGGAAGCGGCUCCAUGCAGGACCCACAAGUUGCCAGUUAACGCACGGCGGAACCGGGGCCGUCGGUUAGCUGUGUGCCAGCGGCCAAGAAAUUAUGGAAAUGCGUUCCUGGCCGCAGGUUGAAAAGGACAAGUUUGGAAGUUGCCGAGUGCGCGCCCCGUCAGGGAGUUUCUCAUCAUGGGGUAGACAAAGGGCUGUUUAUGUUUCAUCCAUUUCCAUGCAGAAAGGUUCCUAAGACAGCGCCAAGAGCUCUCGUCCACACGGUGUGCAUCCACUCUUUCACUAUAUUGUGCUUCUCUUCUGAAAAUGCAACAUUCUAUGGUUAAAAUGUCCCUUGUGCCCAGGAGUAUAGCUUACCACAUCAUUGAUGCAGUUGCAUAAAUACUGCGUGGGGCUGGAGAUGGUGAAAGAACGUUUUAGGUCUGAGCGUGAGCUUUGUCUCUGAAAUACUUUCUGAGAACACAGUGUGCGCGGAGCUGGUGGAUAUAGUGGUCCCCUCAGGGUCACGUCACCUGACUAUCAGUGUGCCAGACCAGGAAGAUUAGCACUCGGCCAAAAGAGAGGGGGAAGCUUUUCAUGUUUCAUGAUCUCCUUAGCGCAUGGCCCAGCUGGAGUUAAAAAGCCCUACAAUUGUUCAGCUCCUCAGAGACGUCAAAUCUCAAGGAUGCAGCAGAGACUCUGCAGGGCCCAACUCUGCUCCACCCCAUUCUAUGCUAUUUUCUCUUCUGAAUAGAACACCAAGGAUAGUGGCAGCAGGAGGAGGGAGUAGGAUACGCUCCAUACUCACACCAGCUCCCUGCCGUGUAUGGCAGUGACACACGAGUGAAGCACAGUGUCAGCUUCACUCUGGAGUCAGGGCAGCCUGGGGCUGAAGCCCAGCUCCCUGGCCGGGCCUACAGGCAUCACACCAUCUCCGUAACCCCGAGUGGGCACGGGGGCUUGGCUGCGGUGGCUCCGGGAGGAUGAAGUGAGGCAAAGUGCAGAGUGCUGAGCGGACAGCUCUCCCCCACGACGCCGGACGUUUGGGGUUUGCUUUUCACACAGCACUGGACCUUUACAAAGAAAGUCAGAGAUGGAGAUUUAAAAACUAGAUGUGCCCAACUGAUCACGUUAAUGUUUUUUAUUCUUACAGUGGGAGUCUUUUGUGAAGUAGAGUCAUAAGCCUAGAGGUUUAGAUUCUAAAGAUUCAUUCCACAACCUGAUCCACAUAAGGAGCGAGACAGUAAAUAACCACUUUUUAACCAGAAUAUAUUUGGUUCUGUGAAUCAAAGAAUGAUGUUCUGAGAGCGAGCUCCAGAAAAGCAUCCUCAACUGGUGGCUUGAGGAAACCGUGACAGAGCUGCUUCUGCCCAGCGCAGUGCAGGGUGCUGCACAGUAGGAGUCCGGUAUCUGCAAAAUGAAUGAAUGACUGAGUGUCACAGGCAAGGUCCUGAAACCUGCAGAAUUUUAGAGUUGGAAGUGGCUGUCUGCUCAGCUAGCACAGGAGAAGCACAGCGACGUGGUGCAUCUGCAGCAGCAGCAGAGCUGUGUGCGGUGUUUCCGGACGAUCUGACCGCAGAAGCCCUGAAGAGAGCGGCCUUUGGUGCCGAUGGCCUUUGGGACACUGCAUGGGACUCUGACUCGAGGCUUCAGCGGUGCUCACUUUCCCGGACACUUCCCUUGGGCACCGGGAGUGUUUCCCACUGUCGCACUGCGUCUCCAUUGCUCUUGAGAAGUCUGCGGUGAUCCAAUCAUCAGCGCCUCCAGCGAGGUCUUCCUUGGCCACCCGCUGCUUCUCCACGUUCUCCAGAUUCUCUGUAACAUGUCUGAGGCACGAAUUUCCUUCCACUUAUUCCUCUGAGGACCUACUCCGCUUCUACAUCUGUGGACUUGGGUCUUUUCAUCAGGUCAGAAGAGCUUCCGGGUAUUAGGGUUUCAAAUAUUGUGUCCCUUAGAUUCUAUCAUCUCGUUACAAAACUCCGAUUAAAUGAAUAUUUGAAAACUUCUCAUUCUGUCUUCUGCAUCUUUAACCUUUUUGAGUUUGUUUUCAUGUUUUCCAUUUCCUACUUUUUCUACUACAUUCUAGACAAUUUCUUCACCUAUUUCCUUAAUUCACAAGUCCUCUUUUCAGAUAGUUAACAUAUUCAUUAAAUUGCUUUUAUUGAUUUUAUUUUUGAUCUUAACCCUUUCUUCCCUCUUUCCUUAUCUUCUUCCUCCCUCGCUCCUUCAGGCCUCUCCUCUUCUCUCCCUCCCUCUCUUCCUUCUUUCUUCCUUUUUGGGAAUCUACCUGAUCACCCCUGAGGGUCCUUCAUUCUGGUUUAUCUUCAGGAGUUCACUCCAUAUUUUCUUAAAUGUUUUGCGAUUCUCUAUUAGAAAGGCAACAAGGUAUAGUGAUAAACUCUAGAACUGAACUGCUUGAAUUGUAGUGCUACCACGGAAGAGAAAUUGAGGAGGACAAAUUUCCUAAUUUGUCUGUGCCUCAGCUUUUUCAUUUUUAAGACGGGAUAGCAAUCGUAUUUGCUUCAUAGGGUUUUAAUGAGAAUUAAAUAUGCCAAAAUUUGAGAAAUCUUUAUAACAAUGCCUAGCAUAUAAUUGGUGUAUACAUUUUUAUAAAUAAAAAAAUUCUGUACCUGAAAACUCCAGUAUCCAA
Molecule: long non-coding RNA, 6136 nt
Organism: Heterocephalus glaber (naked mole-rat)
Lineage: Eukaryota; Metazoa; Chordata; Mammalia; Rodentia; Bathyergidae
Source: RefSeq, a predicted model, not a curated record